ACGCGAAAGGGGCUUCGGCCCUGAGUAGAGUGGCGAACGGGUGAGUAACACGUGGGUGAUCUACCUUCGAGUGGGGGAUAACGUCCCGAAAGGGACGCUAAUACCGCAUGACGUUCUGGGUUUAAAGACCUGGAAACCAAAGCCGGGGACCGCAAGGCCUGGCGCUGGAAGAGGAGCCCGCGUCCGAUUAGCUAGUUGGCGGGGUAAUGGCCCACCAAGGCGACGAUCGGUAGCCGGCCUGAGAGGGCGGACGGCCACACUGGAACUGAGACACGGUCCAGACUCCUACGGGAGGCAGCAGUGGGGAAUUGUUCACAAUGGGCGCAAGCCUGAUGACGCAACGCCGCGUGGGGGAUGAAGGUCUUCGGAUCGUAAACCCCUGUCGAACGGGACGAAAGACCCGGGAGCUAAUCAUCCUGGGAGUGACGGUACCGUUAAAGGAAGCCACGGCUAACUCUGUGCCAGCAGCCGCGGUAAUACAGAGGUGGCAAGCGUUGUUCGGAAUUACUGGGCGUAAAGGGCGCGUAGGCGGCCUACUAAGUCAGACGUGAAAUCCCCCGGCUUAACCUGGGAACUGCGUCUGAUACUGGAAGGCUUGAGUAUGGGAGAGGGAUGUAGAAUUCCAGGUGUAGCGGUGAAAUGCGUAGAUAUCUGGAGGAAUACCGGUGGCGAAGGCGGCAUCCUGGACCAUUACUGACGCUGAGGCGCGAAAGCUAGGGGAGCAAACGGGAUUAGAUACCCCGGUAGUCCUAGCCCUAAACGAUGAAUGCUUGGUGUGGCGGGUAUCGAUCCCUGCCGUGCCGAAGCUAACGCAUUAAGCA
This 821-nucleotide ribosomal RNA is filed under the name uncultured bacterium. Its description in RNAcentral is "bacterial SSU rRNA". It matches the Rfam family "Bacterial small subunit ribosomal RNA", at positions 66 to 866 of the family's 1533-position model. The record is from RNAcentral.